This is a non-coding RNA of Lachnospiraceae bacterium TWA4, 86 nucleotides long. NCBI's taxonomy places the organism in Bacteria, Bacillati, Bacillota, Clostridia, Lachnospirales, Lachnospiraceae. The record is from Rfam.
GCCGGCGUGGCGGAACUGGCAGACGCACAGGACUUAAAAUCCUGCGGGUAGCGAUACUCGUACCGGUUCGAUUCCGGUCGCCGGCA